AGCCUCCUGGUGCUUACCACAGGCUGUGUUCUUACACUGACUGUACAGAAAGAGAAGGCAGAAUAAACCUACCCAUAUAUACCCCAGCCCAGGCCCUUUGCCUGGUCUGUGUUGUGAAUGGAGGUCGAAGA
Molecule: small nucleolar RNA, 131 nt
Organism: Panthera leo (lion)
Lineage: Eukaryota; Metazoa; Chordata; Mammalia; Carnivora; Felidae
Source: Ensembl